This 2045-nucleotide unclassified non-coding RNA is filed under the name Hevea brasiliensis (rubber tree). The record is from RNAcentral. Lineage: Eukaryota; Viridiplantae; Streptophyta; Magnoliopsida; Malpighiales; Euphorbiaceae.
GAAACAAACACAAGACUUACACCUAUCCCUUAAUUUCUCAAUUCACACUGUGAUGCCGGAAGGAGCUUCUCAGGAUUCAGCCAUGGCGGAGAUCUCUGAAGCAACAACUUCCUCCGAUCCACUAAACACUAAGUCCGAAGUGGAAAAUUUCGACCCUAAAACCAUGCGUAAAACAAAGCCUGGAUUGAAGCGUUUAUUUCUCACUCUCACUGUCUUCAUCUCUUUUCUCAUCGCUUUGCCUUUCUUACUUAAGUCCAUAGAGAUUUACCGAGCACCAUUGCCUUUUGAAGACAUAGAUUUACUUUCAACGGAAAUGGAGAAGAAUCAUUCGGUGUUCCCUUGCCAAUUUCAAGCUGUUUUUGUGAACUUCGAUGAGAUUACUGCUGUAAAUGAGCUUGGGCUUUUGAUCGAUUCUCAUAUGCAAAAACUGACCUCAGAAAAUUCUCCACCUUGUGGUACGUGUGGGAACAAUGUCACUGUGGCUGUAACAAUUGAUUCCAAUUCCAACUGUAUUCACAGGGAAAGUGGAAAUGGCAACGGUAAAUGGCAGUGUGGUAUGUUGAAUGGAUUUGAUAAGGUGAAUGAUCAUGAUGAGGAUUUUGAUGAGUAUUUGGAGUCAGUAUUGGAUAGUACGAGUAGGAAGGUUUAUACGGUUGUGGUGAUAAAUAGGAAGCAGGAGGACGUUAGAAUUGUUGUUGGAAAAUAUAGGCAUGCUUGGAUAGUAGGAAAUGAUUCCGUAGAGAAAGCUAUUGAGAAAAUGGCAGAGAUUUUUAUCAAAGUGUUUGUGAAUGGUGGGAAGGAAGAAGGAUCAAUUCGAGGGGAAUUCAUGCCAGUAGGUGCAGAUGGCAAGGUCGUGCUUUCUUUCAGUCUUUUGAAUUCUGAUCCACAUGAUUGGGUUUAUGAUUGGGAUUUUAAGGAGUUAGAUGAGAUUCUGCUGGCUCCCGUGGUCGAUGCUUUAAGACCAGUAGCUGACAUUAGUGUGGAAAGCCAGGUUCUAUAUCAUACUCCAAAGUCUUCAUAUUCAUAUUGGGAUGACACACAGGGUAGCUAUAUUUUCAGUACAAAAGAUCUUCCUUUCUUUGUAAAUUCAAAUGAAUGGCACUUGGAUACUUCAACAGCAGCUGGAGGGCGGUCAAAAGUCCUGCAUUUUGUGUUAUAUGUGCCAUCUGCAAAAGAGUGCCCUCUAAAGUUGCAGUUGCCAAAUGGAGAGAUUUCCAUGACAAAUGGUUUUAUAUCUCCGAUGUGGGGAGGUAUUAUUGUUUGGAAUCCACCGGCCUGUGUAGAGAAUUUUCAAAUGCAACAUCUUUCCAAGCACAAAAUUUCCUCUGAGGACUUGAAGAUGAUUUCUGAAGUUAUCAUGGGACAGUUGCGUCAACUAUUUGGUCUGAAGUCUGAGAGCUUUUACGCUGGUGGAUUCACCACAUCUGUACUUUUAACCAGUGACAAAGGCUUUGCAGAAUGGGAGUUGGAUGUGUUAUCUAGGCAUCAUACAUGUUUCAAUCUUCUUCAGUGUGGCACCACCCUUGGAUCUCUUUCUCGAUUGGUUCAGUCACUUCCCAGGAUGAUAAUCAUGGAUGAAAUAGGAAAACAGGUAAAGUAUUCUCUUGAAGCUGCAAAAUUAUCACUAGGCAAUGUGUCUUUAGGAUAUUCUGAUGCUUCUGCUGUUUCCUCGAGAAAAGCAAGAGCAUUAGCAGAGGAUGCCUUUUAUCAUCCAUCUAUGAUGUCCGUGAGCUACUACUCGUUUGAACACUGUUUUGCUGUAUAUUCGCCAUUCUUUCUGCCAGUUUCACUGCAUGUGCUUCUUGCAGUCAUUAGAGAAUGGAAAAGAUAUAAAGUGGAAAGCAGAAAGUACCUUUCAUGGAAGGUCAAGGUUAAAGUUGAGUAGUUUGUCAGAGUUGCAUAUAAAACCUUAGAGCGGAAGCACGAAAACUGGUGUCCAUGGAAAAAAAAAUUGCAGACGUUUAAAUGACAUAUUGAGAUGUGUACACUACAUUCCAUGAAGAUUUUAUUAAAAAAAUUGACUAGAUACAAAUUCACCUGUAUAU